GAAAUUUCAAACUUUAUUUAUGGAAUGCAAAGAUAUUGUUUAAUUACAACCGUACAAAAUCAAAAGAUUACAGGGGAUAGAGGCAAAAACCAUUUUUCCAAGAGCAAGCAAAACCCAAUAUCACAUUUGGAUUAGGCUGCCUUUCAUUGGAUUUAUUACUUAUUUGCAGUUACCUCCUCUUGAACCAGAAGACAAGACACAAUAAAAAAAGAUAAUACAAAUACCAAGAGUAGCUUAGUAUGACCAGCACCAGAAGGCAUGAUCUUCAAAACUUGCAGGUGGGUCGGAGUAAUCACCAUCUUCAAGCUUUGGGAAGACAUAUGGGGGCAAUAGGCUCUCGCUUAAAUUAUCUUCUUCAUCCUGGGAUAAGUCUGACUGGUCUGGUUCAAAAACAUAUGAAGAAUCACCAGCCUCUAAGAGUGAAGAGUGAACCCCAUCAGUGUAAUGUGGGCUGUCUGAAUCAAAUAUAUCACUUUUGGCUGAGCUAAUAUCUUCUUGCUUACAGGCCACAAUUGAAACUUUUGAUACUUCACCCUCAGAAGUUGAAUCACCAAUUGGCUUUUUCUGUGGUUCCUGAGAUAAUGUUUCUUUAUCAGACAACUCCAAAUUUCCCUUGUCCUCUCUGAGAAGCAGCUUGUCUGUGAGGAGAUUAACCUGAAAAUAAUUUAACCAUCAAACAAGUUUGCUCAAUUUCAAUGCUAAACCCAAAUUAUAGCAGAAGCUGAGAAUUCUAAAUGACUAUUGUUUAUUUUUACAUCAGCUUUUAGUUUAUCUUUCUCCUUGAGGAGCGUAUCAUAGUCAGCCUUAAGGCUAUUAUAGCUAGUCUGCAAUGCCUCAUAAUCCUUCUCCAGCUGUUUUGUCUUCCAUCUUGCUCGGCGGUUUUGAAACCAUAUUGCAACCUGCCGAGGCUGCAGGCCAAGGUCCUUUGCAAGCUGGAUUUUCCUUUCUGGUUCGAGCUUGUUCUCAACCUCAAAACUUUUUUCAAGAAAGCGAACUUGAUCAACAGAAAGUCUCCUCUUCUUCUCGGGUUGAUAAAAAUACUCAUCCAAUUCAUCAUCACCAUUCUCUUCAUGAUCAAAAGAGCGGAAAAAAGGCCGGGUUGAUCCAUUUACUUGAUGAACAUCCUCAAAGCUCACCAUGGAUCUUGAGCCUAAAUUAAUGGCACAUCAUGAUAAGAAUACCAUAUUUUGAGGAUCACAAGAACUGCACAUUCAAAUUAGUAACCAUUUCUAUGCCAUUAACACAAGCCAUUCAAAAGGUGUAGUUUGGUUAGGCUUCUUGCUCGCAUUAAUUGCUUAAAAAAAGCCAUCUAGCAUGAUUCAAUAACUCAGAUAUAAAGAGCAUCAGAAACAUCUAAAUUAACCAGAUCUCAUGGAACACUUUUGACCUCAAUUGAGAUAUUUGAGCCCAGGAUGCCAUCUUCCAGGCUUCAUAUUACAGGGUAAGGACAGAGUAGAAAGUCAACCAACAUCCAAAAACCUCCCAUAUGAAAAAGGAAAAGAAGCAUGCUAAAAAUUCAAUACUUGUAAGUACAAACAAAAUAUUGCAUUCAGUCAUGGAAAGAAAUGUUAGCUUCUUGCCCUUUCUCCUCUACCUUGAUUGUAAAUACGUGCAAAAAAUUAACUUUCCAUCGUAAAGCAUCACUUUCUAAUCAGAGAUUUAUGAAGCAGAAUUUUGUGAAAAUUUGCACUUUUAACAUAAUCAGAAAAAUAAAACACCAAUAAAAAAAAAAGUAGCUUGAUCAGAUUUAUUUUAAUUAUACAGCAAUUAUAGUAGAAAAUAGAUAUUGCUUAGGUAUUAAAUACAGAUAGGAAGGGAGUGAGGUUGAAGAGGGUACCUAGGAAGGAAGGAGAAGACCCAGUAAGGAAAAAGGCAUCAAGAGGCGGAGAAGUAGAAGGACCUCGUUGGCUUUGGAGCGAAACAGAAAAAUUCGAACCACCACCACCAACACUUGCCAUGCUUUUUCUAUAAAAUUUUCCUGCUAAUACAGGUUUUCACGCUGUCAGCACGGCCCUGGGCAAAAACUCAAAAGACCCAGAUUCCAAGAUGUAACAGUCUCUAUAUUUAAAAAAAAAAAUUUAUUUCUUAAGAUUUGUGGCGAAAGAAGCUGGUGAUGAUGAUCUCUGUGAUGUGGGAAGUGUGGGAGCACCUGCAGCAGCUCACACCCAUCCCUCAGAAGAAGGAGAAUUGUUCAGUAACAGACACAGAAAAAGGGACAGAGAGAGAGAGAAAGAGAUAUGUUUUGAUUAUUUUGGCAAAGAAGAAAAGCUGUGAGAGUAGAGAAAGAGAAGUAUGAGAUUUGAGCAGAGAAAGAGAGGAGAUAUUCUUCUUUCUGCAGAGGAGAAAGGAUGAUUGGGUUAUAACAAGUACAGCAGAUGAGCAUACUGCUGUCCUGGUUUGAUUUUAAUUUUUAUCGAAAUA
This 2421-nucleotide unclassified non-coding RNA is filed under the name Hevea brasiliensis (rubber tree). The record is from RNAcentral. Lineage: Eukaryota; Viridiplantae; Streptophyta; Magnoliopsida; Malpighiales; Euphorbiaceae.